GCCUCCGUGGCUCAGUCUGGCAGAGCGGCAGACUUGUAAUCUGCAUGUCGUGGGUUCAAAUCCCACCGGGGGCU
This 74-nucleotide transfer RNA is filed under the name Candidatus Altarchaeales archaeon. Its description in RNAcentral is "tRNA-Thr". It matches the Rfam family "tRNA". Rfam says of the family: Transfer RNA (tRNA) molecules are approximately 80 nucleotides in length. Their secondary structure includes four short double-helical elements and three loops (D, anti-codon, and T loops). Further hydrogen bonds mediate the characteristic L-shaped molecular structure. tRNAs have two regions of fundamental functional importance: the anti-codon, which is responsible for specific mRNA codon recognition, and the 3' end, to which the tRNAs corresponding amino acid is attached (by aminoacyl-tRNA synthetases). tRNAs cope with the degeneracy of the genetic code in two manners: having more than one tRNA (with a specific anti-codon) for a particular amino acid; and 'wobble' base-pairing, i.e. permitting non-standard base-pairing at the 3rd anti-codon position. Lineage: Archaea; Nanobdellati; Candidatus Altarchaeota; Candidatus Altarchaeia; Candidatus Altarchaeales. The record is from RNAcentral.